This 493-nucleotide ribosomal RNA is filed under the name uncultured bacterium. RNAcentral describes it as "partial 16S ribosomal RNA". It matches the Rfam family "Bacterial small subunit ribosomal RNA", at positions 29 to 523 of the family's 1533-position model. The record is from RNAcentral.
AUUGAACGCUGGCGGCAUGCUUUACACAUGCAAGUCGAACGGUAACAGGUUAAGCUGACGAGUGGCGAACGGGUGAGUAAUGCAUCGGAACGUGCCCGGUCGUGGGGGAUAACGCAGCGAAAGCUGCGCUAAUACCGCAUACGAUCUGAGGAUGAAAGCGGGGGACCGUAAGGCCUCGCGCGAUCGGAGCGGCCGAUGUCAGAUUAGGUAGUUGGUGGGGUAAAGGCUCCCCAAGCCAACGAUCUGUAGCUGGUCUGAGAGGACGACCACCCACACUGGGACUGAAGCACGGCCCAGACUCCUACGGGCGGCAGCAGUGGGGAAUUUUGGCCGAGGGGCGAAAGCCUGAUCCAGCAAUGCCGCGUGCAGGAAGAAGGCCUUCGGGUUGUAAACUGCUUUUGUACGGAGCGAAAAGGCCUCCUCCAAUACAGGGGGCUCAUGACGGUACCGUAAGAAUAAGCACCGGCUAACUACGUGCCAGCCGCCGCGGUAA